AUUUUCCAAAGGCUUUACACGGUAGCUGAACAGAGGCCGUUUACAGUCAGAUAUCGUAAUAAUAUCCGUCAGAUAUUGCAAUAUUCUUAUUGGAAAGUCAGGUCCCCUCUUCCGUCUGCCUCCGAUUGCAACUUCCUGUGGUGGUCCGAAUCAAGAUCUUUCUCUAGGAAACAUUAGACCACUAUAAUAAGUAUGCACAACUGCAUUACAUCUCCGAUAAAGGUGCUCUGAUAUAAAGGUACAAGAGCCUAGAUGGAAGUUGCUUCCUUCAAGCUAUAAACUGGAUUCUGUAAUGGUGUCGGCUUUAUAAGAAUGUGGGCACUUUACGCCAAGACAUCUUUUGCAAACAUAGGCCCAUUUGUACAAAAGAGCUGGCACCUUUAUUAUGGAGUGCCAAGACAGAAACCGCCAUAAAGGUAUCAUACUUUGAUGGGAUUGGUUUUUCUCCAAGUUCUAAAAUGAAUUUCAUAAGGAUAAGGCACCUUUAUGCGCGUCGAUGAAUAUUCACUGAAAUAAAGACUUUUACGUAGACGUUCUGGUAUCCUGAUGAAGGUUUCAUUCUUCAUGGAGUAAACGGAACUUCAUCAAGUUUUAUGUCUUGAUGAACGAUGGUCAACUUGCAAAAGGUGCGGCACCUUCACUCAAGUGGAGGACUAUUUACUUAGAUUCCCAAAAUCUUGACGAAGGUUUCAUUCUUCAUGGUAUAAACUGGAAUUUCCGAGGGACUUAAUUUCCACAUGGACCCCCUCGCAUUUUGAUGAAAGAUACAUUCUCAUGGUAUACACUGAGCUAUAUAAAGCUGUCAGAUACUCCUUAUGUCUUGAUGAACAAUGUUUAGCUUACAGUAGUUGCCAUCUUAUUUAUUCAAGUCGGCGAUUAAGUUCUUUACACGAGUUUCUCGGAAUGUCGACGAAGUUAUAGUCUUCAUGGUAUAUAUUGAUCUUUAGAAAGGUGCCGCGAACCUUUGUGUCUUAAUGACGGAGCACACUUGUACCUUGGCGAGCAAACAGCAACUUGCAUAAAGCUGCCAGCACAUUUAUGCAAGUAAGGCCGCGCCGGUCAGACAAUUCCAUUCGCCCUUGGUGCUAACAAAUAUCACUGUCAAAAAAUGAAAUCCUUGACGAUGGCAAUGAUAGGUAAUGAAUGUAGAAUUUGAGUAUAGGAUUACUUCUUGAUAUAGGAAGACUGAAGUUCCCAUCAAGAAAUGCGCGAAAUUCAUUGCUAUCUUUCAGUGCUCUACUUUCUCACAUAAAAUGCCACAAAUUCCUAAUAUUUCUCUGUUUUAUGCAGUAUAUUAAUAGCGGCACUACUGUCGUAUGCUCUCUCUCUAUAUAUGGUAUAUACUUCUUCAUUUCGCUGUAUAUUGUGUACAUUUUAUUUUAUUGUGUGUCAGCUGUUAAUGCUUUGUAUUUCAAAAUAUCAAGUAAUGUACUGCAUCAGGUUCAUGUUUCUUUGUCACAAAGUACGUAGUUACACAGUACUGCACAUAUGU
Molecule: long non-coding RNA, 1492 nt
Organism: Stegodyphus dumicola
Lineage: Eukaryota; Metazoa; Arthropoda; Arachnida; Araneae; Eresidae
Source: RefSeq, a predicted model, not a curated record